Molecule: ribosomal RNA, 2810 nt
Filed under: Klebsiella pneumoniae
Lineage: Bacteria; Pseudomonadati; Pseudomonadota; Gammaproteobacteria; Enterobacterales; Enterobacteriaceae
Description: partial 23S ribosomal RNA
Rfam family: Bacterial large subunit ribosomal RNA
Source: RNAcentral
CCGGCGAUGUCCGAAUGGGGAAACCCAGUGCAAUUCGUUGCACUAUCGUUAACUGAAUACAUAGGUUAACGAGGCGAACCGGGGGAACUGAAACAUCUAAGUACCCCGAGGAAAAGAAAUCAACCGAGAUUCCCCCAGUAGCGGCGAGCGAACGGGGAGCAGCCCAGAGUCUGAAUCAGCUUGUGUGUUAGUGGAACGGUCUGGAAAGUCCGACGGUACAGGGUGAUAGUCCCGUACACCAAAAUGCACAGGUUGUGAACUCGAAGAGUAGGGCGGGACACGUGGUAUCCUGUCUGAAUAUGGGGGGACCAUCCUCCAAGGCUAAAUACUCCUGACUGACCGAUAGUGAACCAGUACCGUGAGGGAAAGGCGAAAAGAACCCCGGCGAGGGGAGUGAAAAAGAACCUGAAACCGUGUACGUACAAGCAGUGGGAGCACCUUCGGGUGUGACUGCGUACCUUUUGUAUAAUGGGUCAGCGACUUAUAUUCUGUAGCAAGGUUAACCGUAUAGGGGAGCCGCAGGGAAACCGAGUCUUAACUGGGCGUUAAGUUGCAGGGUAUAGACCCGAAACCCGGUGAUCUAGCCAUGGGCAGGUUGAAGGUUGGGUAACACUAACUGGAGGACCGAACCGACUAAUGUUGAAAAAUUAGCGGAUGACUUGUGGCUGGGGGUGAAAGGCCAAUCAAACCGGGAGAUAGCUGGUUCUCCCCGAAAGCUAUUUAGGUAGCGCCUCGUGAAUUCAUCUUCGGGGGUAGAGCACUGUUUCGGCUAGGGGGUCAUCCCGACUUACCAACCCGAUGCAAACUACGAAUACCGAAGAAUGUUAUCACGGGAGACACACGGCGGGUGCUAACGUCCGUCGUGAAGAGGGAAACAACCCAGACCGCCAGCUAAGGUCCCAAAGUCAUGGUUAAGUGGGAAACGAUGUGGGAAGGCACAGACAGCCAGGAUGUUGGCUUAGAAGCAGCCAUCAUUUAAAGAAAGCGUAAUAGCUCACUGGUCGAGUCGGCCUGCGCGGAAGAUGUAACGGGGCUAAACCAUGCACCGAAGCUGCGGCAGCGACACUAUGUGUUGUUGGGUAGGGGAGCGUUCUGUAAGCCUGCGAAGGUGACCUGUGAGGGUUGCUGGAGGUAUCAGAAGUGCGAAUGCUGACAUAAGUAACGAUAAAGCGGGUGAAAAGCCCGCUCGCCGGAAGACCAAGGGUUCCUGUCCAACGUUAAUCGGGGCAGGGUGAGUCGACCCCUAAGGCGAGGCCGAAAGGCGUAGUCGAUGGGAAACAGGUUAAUAUUCCUGUACUUGGUGUUACUGCGAAGGGGGGACGGAGAAGGCUAUGUUAGCCGGGCGACGGUUGUCCCGGUUUAAGCAUGUAGGCUGGUUGUCCAGGCAAAUCCGGAUAAUCAAGGCUGAGGUGUGAUGACGAGGCACUACGGUGCUGAAGUAACAAAUGCCCUGCUUCCAGGAAAAGCCUCUAAGCAUCAGGUAACAUCAAAUCGUACCCCAAACCGACACAGGUGGUCAGGUAGAGAAUACCAAGGCGCUUGAGAGAACUCGGGUGAAGGAACUAGGCAAAAUGGUGCCGUAACUUCGGGAGAAGGCACGCUGGUGUGUAGGUGAAGUCCCUGCGGAUGGAGCUGAGACCAGUCGAAGAUACCAGCUGGCUGCAACUGUUUAUUAAAAACACAGCACUGUGCAAACACGAAAGUGGACGUAUACGGUGUGACGCCUGCCCGGUGCCGGAAGGUUAAUUGAUGGGGUUAUCCGUAAGGAGAAGCUCUUGAUCGAAGCCCCGGUAAACGGCGGCCGUAACUAUAACGGUCCUAAGGUAGCGAAAUUCCUUGUCGGGUAAGUUCCGACCUGCACGAAUGGCGUAAUGAUGGCCAGGCUGUCUCCACCCGAGACUCAGUGAAAUUGAACUCGCUGUGAAGAUGCAGUGUACCCGCGGCAAGACGGAAAGACCCCGUGAACCUUUACUAUAGCUUGACACUGAACAUUGAGCCUUGAUGUGUAGGAUAGGUGGGAGGCUUUGAAGCGUGGACGCCAGUCUGCGUGGAGCCAACCUUGAAAUACCACCCUUUAAUGUUUGAUGUUCUAACGUUGGCCCCUUACCGGGGUUGCGGACAGUGUCUGGUGGGUAGUUUGACUGGGGCGGUCUCCUCCCAAAGCGUAACGGAGGAGCACGAAGGUUAGCUAAUCCUGGUCGGACAUCAGGAGGUUAGUGCAAUGGCAUAAGCUAGCUUGACUGCGAGCGUGACGGCGCGAGCAGGUGCGAAAGCAGGUCAUAGUGAUCCGGUGGUUCUGAAUGGAAGGGCCAUCGCUCAACGGAUAAAAGGUACUCCGGGGAUAACAGGCUGAUACCGCCCAAGAGUUCAUAUCGACGGCGGUGUUUGGCACCUCGAUGUCGGCUCAUCACAUCCUGGGGCUGAAGUAGGUCCCAAGGGUAUGGCUGUUCGCCAUUUAAAGUGGUACGCGAGCUGGGUUUAGAACGUCGUGAGACAGUUCGGUCCCUAUCUGCCGUGGGCGCUGGAGAAUUGAGGGGGGCUGCUCCUAGUACGAGAGGACCGGAGUGGACGCAUCACUGGUGUUCGGGUUGUCAUGCCAAUGGCACUGCCCGGUAGCUAAAUGCGGAAGAGAUAAGUGCUGAAAGCAUCUAAGCACGAAACUUGCCCCGAGAUGAGUUCUCCCUGAGACUUUAAGUCUCCUGAAGGAACGUUAAAGACGAUGACGUUGAUAGGCCGGGUGUGUAAGCGCAGCGAUGCGUUGAGCUAACCGGUACUAAUGAACCGUGAGGCUUAACCUUACAACGCCGAAG